Rhopilema esculentum is the source of this 288-nucleotide non-coding RNA. NCBI's taxonomy places the organism in Eukaryota, Metazoa, Cnidaria, Scyphozoa, Rhizostomeae, Rhizostomatidae. The record is from RefSeq and is a predicted model, not a curated record.
GGGAUCUAAUCUCGCAAAAGCGCAUGGUGCAAUGUGGUAAUUUCUCUUUCAAAGAACAUAGCCUAGUUGAAGGUUGUCGAAGAAGAUUAAUUGGUGAGCACACUGUUUCGUGUCAGCAAAGACUUAAACAAUGCGUUACGUGGCCGCCUACCUAUUAGCAGUGCUUGGAGGUAACUCCAGCCCAUCAACCAAUGACAUCAAACAUAUUCUUGGGGAAGUAGGUGUUAGUUUUGAUGAUGAGCAAGCAAAAAAUGUUUGCAGUAAACUUGCAGGAAAGGACAUCAAUGA